GAUGAACGCUAGCUACAGGCUUAACACAUGCAAGUCGAGGGGAAACGGCAUUGAGUGCUUGCACUCUUUGGACGUCGACCGGCGCACGGGUGAGUAACGCGUAUCCAACCUUCCCAUUACUGUGGGAUAACCUGCCGAAAGGCAGACUAAUACCGCAUAGUCUUCGAUGACGGCAUCAGAUUUGAAGUAAAGAUUUAUCGGUAAUGGAUGGGGAUGCGUCUGAUUAGCUUGUUGGCGGGGUAACGGCCCGCCAAGGCUACGAUCAGUAGGGGUUCUGAGAGGAAGGUCCCCCACAUUGGAACUGAGACACGGUCCAAACUCCUACGGGAGGCAGCAGUGAGGAAUAUUGGUCAAUGGACGGAAGUCUGAACCAGCCAAGUAGCGUGCAGGAUGACGGCCCUAUGGGUUGUAAACUGCUUUUGUAUGGGGAUAAAGUUAGGGACGUGUCCCUAUUUGCAGGUACCAUACGAAUAAGGACCGGCUAAUUCCGUG
RNAcentral lists this ribosomal RNA (492 nucleotides) under uncultured bacterium. RNAcentral's name for it is "partial 16S ribosomal RNA". It matches the Rfam family "Bacterial small subunit ribosomal RNA", at positions 28 to 507 of the family's 1533-position model. The record is from RNAcentral.